Molecule: ribosomal RNA, 253 nt
Filed under: uncultured bacterium
Lineage: Bacteria
Description: partial 16S ribosomal RNA
Rfam family: Bacterial small subunit ribosomal RNA
Source: RNAcentral
UACGUAGGGUGCAAGCGUUAAUCGGAAUACUGGGCGUAAGGCGUGCGCAGGCGGUGAUGUAAGACAGGUGUGAAAUCCCCGGGCUUAACCUGGGAACUGCAUUUGUGGCUGCAUCGCUGGAGUGCGGCAGAGGGGGGAUGGAAUUCCGCGUGUAGCAGUGAAAUGCGUAGAUAUGCGGAGGAACACCGAUGGCGAAGGCAAUCCCCUGGGCCUGCACUGACGCUCAUGCACGAAAGCGUGGGGAGCAAACAGG